UGGGGAGCGGCAUGAUUGAAUCAGGGAUUCCCUAGCCCCAGGUCCCCUUCUCCGUCAUUCUCAGGACGAGGCUGCCCAGUUCUCAGAAAACCAGUAUGCUGAGAAGAGGAGUGGUGCCAUACAAGAGGCCAUGGAGGAUGAGCAGAGAUGGACAAAUGAGGAGAGUCCCUGGGAGCAGCAGGAGGCUGAUGCAACUUAUGUCUCCACAAGGAGAAACCACUGAGAGAAGCUCUGCAUUUGAGACCCUCCUAGACUUCAUCCUGUGUGUCUUUUCAUUUGGCUGUUUCUGAUUUAUACCCUUAAUAAACUAAUUAAACACAGCA
Molecule: long non-coding RNA, 323 nt
Organism: Nomascus leucogenys (northern white-cheeked gibbon)
Lineage: Eukaryota; Metazoa; Chordata; Mammalia; Primates; Hylobatidae
Exons: 3
Source: RefSeq, a predicted model, not a curated record